Molecule: ribosomal RNA, 459 nt
Filed under: uncultured bacterium
Lineage: Bacteria
Description: partial 16S ribosomal RNA
Rfam family: Bacterial small subunit ribosomal RNA
Source: RNAcentral
CCUACGGGUGGCAGCAGUGAGGAAUAUUGGUCAAUGGGCGCGAGCCUGAACCAGCCAAGUCGCGUGAGGGAUGACGGUCCUAUGGAUUGUAAACCUCUUUUGUCGGGGAGCAAAAGACGCCACGCGUGGCGUUCCGAGAGUACCCGAAGAAAAAGCAUCGGCUAACUCCGUGCCAGCAGCCGCGGUAAUACGGAGGAUGCGAGCGUUAUCCGGAUUUAUUGGGUUUAAAGGGUGCGCAGGCGGAAGAUCAAGCCAGCGGUAAAAUUGAGAGGCUCAACCUCUUCGAGCCGUUGAAACUGGGGUUCUUGAGUGAGCGAGAAGUAUGCGGAAUGCGUGGUGUAGCGGUGAAAUGCAUAGAUAUCACGCAGAACUCCGAUUGCGAAGGCAGCAUACCGGCGCUCAACUGACGCUCAUGCACGAAAGUGUGGGUAUCGAACAGGAUUAGAUACCCGAGUAGUC